Molecule: ribosomal RNA, 402 nt
Filed under: uncultured bacterium
Lineage: Bacteria
Description: bacterial SSU rRNA
Rfam family: Bacterial small subunit ribosomal RNA
Source: RNAcentral
GGAAUAUUGCACAAUGGGGGAAACCCUGAUGCAGCGACGCCGCGUGAAGGAAGAAGGCUUUCGGGUUGUAAACUUCUUUUAAGAGGGAAGAGCAGAAGACGGUACCUCUUGAAUAAGCCACGGCUAACUACGUGCCAGCAGCCGCGGUAAUACGUAGGUGGCAAGCGUUGUCCGGAUUUACUGGGUGUAAAGGGCGUGUAGCCGGGCUGACAAGUCAGAUGUGAAAUUCCGGGGCUCAACCCCGGACCUGCAUUUGAAACUGUUGGUCUUGAGUAUCGGAGAGGCAGGCGGAAUUCCUAGUGUAGCGGUGAAAUGCGUAGAUAUUAGGAGGAACACCAGUGGCGAAGGCGGCCUGCUGGACGACAACUGACGGUGAGGCGCGAAAGCGUGGGGAGCAAACAG